AGUGAACGCUGGCGGUAGGCCUAACACAUGCAAGUCGAACGGCAGCACAGUAAGAGCUUGCUCUUACGGGUGGCGAGUGGCGGACGGGUGAGGAAUACAUCGGAAUCUACUUUUUCGUGGGGGAUAACGUAGGGAAACUUACGCUAAUACCGCAUACGACCUAAGGGUGAAAGCAGGGGAUCUUCGGACCUUGCGCGAUUGAAUGAGCCGAUGUCGGAUUAGCUAGUUGGAGGGGUAAAGGCCCACCAAGGCGACGAUCCGUAGCUGGUCUGAGAGGAUGAUCAGCCACACUGGAACUGAGACACGGUCCAGACUCCUACGGGAGGCAGCAGUGGGGAAUAUUGGACAAUGGGCGCAAGCCUGAUCCAGCCAUACCGCGUGGGUGAAGAAGGCCUUCGGGUUGUAAAGCCCUUUUGUUGGGAAAGAAAAGCAGCAGGUUAAUACCCCGCUGUUCUGACGGUACCCAAAGAGUAAGCACCGGCUAACUUCGUG
This 492-nucleotide ribosomal RNA is filed under the name uncultured bacterium. RNAcentral's name for it is "partial 16S ribosomal RNA". It matches the Rfam family "Bacterial small subunit ribosomal RNA", at positions 29 to 507 of the family's 1533-position model. The record is from RNAcentral.